Long non-coding RNA from Lucilia cuprina (Australian sheep blowfly), 852 nucleotides. RefSeq lists it as uncharacterized. The transcript has 3 exons. The record is from RefSeq and is a predicted model, not a curated record. NCBI's taxonomy places the organism in Eukaryota, Metazoa, Arthropoda, Insecta, Diptera, Calliphoridae.
CAAUUGUUUUACUUGGCGAACGGUUGUGAUUUUUUUCGAAGGCGGUUUUAAAGAAGAUUAAAAGUUUUGAAAGAAGACGUAAUUUACGCAGAAAAUAGAAAAUAUAAUUUCAGUGGAAAUUGAAAAUAAUAAUAAAUCGUUAUGGUGUUUGUAAACAGAAAAAUAAAUUAUAAACGUGUAAUAAAUAUUUAAGUAAAAAAUAUUAUUUUAAUAACUAUAAAGAUGCUUAAAACAAAACAAGUAGAAUAUUAAAUACCAUGAUGUGUUACAAGUGCAGUCUUUACAAUCUUUUUAUUACAAUCAAAUCAAAAAAGUACCAGUUAAAAGAAGAACAAUAAUGAUCAACAAUAAAGCGGUAUUCGAUCGUAUAUUGAUCAUAUCUUAAAGAGAUGAUUUUAUGAUUUGAAAGUCCAAAGUAGAAAACAACUUGUACAACUGCUGCUGAAUAACAAACUCUAUGAGAUAACAACCAAUCUUUCACAAAAGAACACCUUCAAAGAUGAUCAUAUGUUUGUAAUUGAACUAAAAACGGGUGUAUAAGGCUUCCUUGGAUAUUUGCUUUCACUUAAGGAUGACUUCCAGGAACAUAAGUUUGUAAUUCAACUAAUAAUGGUUUGUAUAAGGCUUCCCUGGAUAUUGGCUGUAUAAAGAUUCCCUGUUAAUAUCAAAUAAUUUGUUUAAAACAGAAUGAAUGCUGAAAUUGCUUUAGAAUGUGAAACUUAUAAUAUUCAACGAUAAAGUAAAAAUUUUUCAAAUCCACUUAGAAAAAUAAAAACUUGUAAACGAUUAAGUGUGAUUCUGUAUAAUAAAAUAGUUUACAUUAAAAUUGAAAACCUUACAGUAAAAUUAACU